Molecule: ribosomal RNA, 497 nt
Filed under: uncultured bacterium
Lineage: Bacteria
Description: partial 16S ribosomal RNA
Rfam family: Bacterial small subunit ribosomal RNA
Source: RNAcentral
GAUGAACGCUGGCGGCGUGCCUAAUACAUGCAAGUCGAGCGAACAGACGAGGAGCUUGCUCCUUUGACGUUAGCGGCGGACGGGUGAGUAACACGUGGAUAACCUACCUAUAAGACUGGGAUAACUUCGGGAAACCGGAGCUAAUACCGGAUAACAUGUUGAACCGCAUGGUUCAACAGUGAAAGACGGUCUUGCUGUCACUUAUAGAUGGAUCCGCGCCGCAUUAGCUAGUUGGUAAGGUAACGGCUUACCAAGGCAACGAUGCGUAGCCGACCUGAGAGGGUGAUCGGCCACACUGGAACUGAGACACGGUCCAGACUCCUACGGGAGGCAGCAGUAGGGAAUCUUCCGCAAUGGGCGAAAGCCUGACGGGGCAACGCCGCGUGAGUGAAGAAGGUCUUCGGAUCGUAAAACUCUGUUAUUAGGGAAGAACAAAUGUGUAAGUAACUAUGCACGUCUUGACGGUACCUAAUCGGAAAGCCACGGCUAACUACGUG